RNAcentral lists this ribosomal RNA (1526 nucleotides) under Korotnevella stella. RNAcentral's name for it is "SSU rRNA". It matches the Rfam family "Eukaryotic small subunit ribosomal RNA", at positions 1 to 1386 of the family's 1831-position model. Lineage: Eukaryota; Discosea; Flabellinia; Dactylopodida; Paramoebidae. The record is from RNAcentral.
AUAUUUGAUCCUGCCAGCAGUCAUAUGCUUGUCUUAAAGACUAAGCCAUGCAUGUCUAAGUAUAAGCACUUGUACUGUAAAACUGCGAAUGGCUCAUUAAAUCAGUUAUAAUUUAUUUGAUGGUAAAUACCACUUGGAUAACCGUGGUAAAACUAGAGCUAAUACAUGCGUAAAAACCUAACUAGAAAUGGAAAGGUUCCAUUUAUUAGAUACAACCCCAAUAAAGUAAAGGGGUUAAACUUUUUAUUUUUUUAUUGGUGAUUCAUAGUAAUAAGACUAAUCGUAUAAUCAAGUAUUGACGAUAGUUCAUUCAAAUAUGGGCCCUAUCAACUUUCGAUGGUAGUAUAGAGGACUACCAUGGUGGUAACGGGUAACGGAGAAUCAAGGUUUGAUUCCAGAGAAGGAGCCUGAGAAACGGCUACUACUUCCAAGGAAGGCAGCAGGCGCGCAAAUUACCCAAUCCCAAAACGGGGAGGUAGUGACAAUAAAUAACAACAUUGGAUUCUAUAAAAAAAUCUAAUAAUUAAAAUGAGUACAAUCUAAACCCCUUAACGAAUAUCAAUUGGAGGGCAAGUCUGGUGCCAGCAGGCGGUAAUUCCAGCUCCAAUAGCAUAUAUUAAAGUUGUUGCAGUUAAAAAGCUCGUAGUUGGAUUUAAAAUAGAGAGAAAAAGUAUUAUAUGAAAGUAUAAUUAUUUUUUAUCUUUAUUUCAAUAUACUAAUAAUUCAUUAUUAUUUUUAAUUAAAUAGUAAUUAUUAAUUCUUUACGGGAUUAAUUUAUUUUAAGAAUGUAUUUAUUAAAAUGUGGAUAUUUAUACGAAGCAAUUUGUAUAAAUAUACUGUUUAAUAAAUCUUUUUAAAAUAGAAUAAUAGUACAUUUACUUUGAGUAAAUUAGAGUGUUCAAAGCAAACUUACAAAUUGUAAUGAAUACUAUUAGCAUGGGAUAAUGGAACAAGAUAUUAAUCUUUUAUUUUUUCAUUGGUUUCUAAGAUUAAUUUAAUGAUUAAAAGGGAUAGUUGGGGGCAUUAGUAUUUAAUUGUCAGAGGUGAAAUUCUUGGAUUUAUGAAAGACUAACUUCUGCGAAAGCAUUUGUCAAAGAUGUUUUCAUUAAUCAAGAACGAAAGUUAGGGGAUCGAAGACGAUCAGAUACCGUCGUAGUCUUAACUAAAAACUAUGCCGACCAAGGAUUGAAAGUUGAUAAUAAUUUAAAAAAUUAAAUCUUUUCAGAACUUUAUAAGAAAUUAAAAGUUUUUGGGUUCUGGGGGGAGUAUGGUCGCAAGGCUGAAACUUAAAGGAAUUGACGGAAGGGCACCACCAGGAGUGGAGCCUGCGGCUUAAUUUGACUCAACACGGGAAAACUUACCAGGUCCAGACACAGUUAGGAUUGACAGAUUGAGAGCUCUUUGAUUCUGUGGGUGGUGGUGCAUGGCCGUUCUUAGUUGGUGGAGUGAGCUGUCUGGUUAAUUCCGAUAACGAACGAGACCUCAGUUUAUUAAUUAAAUAAAAAAACAUAAGCGAUAUAAGGGUU